UCUACGGGAGGCAGCAGUGAGGAAUAUUGGUCAAUGGGCGCGAGCCUGAACCAGCCAAGUAGCGUGAAGGAUGACUGCCCUACGGGUUGUAAACUUCUUUUAUAAAGGAAUAAAGUGAGGCACGUGUGCCUUUUUGUAUGUACUUUAUGAAUAAGGAUCGGCUAACUCCGUGCCAGCAGCCGCGGUAAUACGGAGGAUCCGAGCGUUAUCCGGAUUUAUUGGGUUUAAAGGGAGCGUAGAUGGGUUGUUAAGUCAGUUGUGAAAGUUUGCGGCGCAACCGUAAAAUGGCAAUUGAUACUGGCAGUCUUGAGUACAGUUGAGGUAGGCGGAAUUCGUUGUGUAGCGGGGAAAUGCUUAGAUAUCACGAAGAACUCCGAUUGCGAAGGCAGCUUACUAAACUGCCACUGACAUUGAUGCUCGAAAGUGUGGGUAUCAAACAGGAUUAGAUACGCCUGUAGUC
This 460-nucleotide ribosomal RNA is filed under the name uncultured bacterium. RNAcentral's name for it is "partial 16S ribosomal RNA". It matches the Rfam family "Bacterial small subunit ribosomal RNA", at positions 338 to 795 of the family's 1533-position model. The record is from RNAcentral.